Molecule: transfer RNA, 87 nt
Filed under: Elusimicrobia bacterium GWC2_64_44
Lineage: Bacteria; Pseudomonadati; Elusimicrobiota
Description: tRNA-Leu
Rfam family: tRNA
About the family: Transfer RNA (tRNA) molecules are approximately 80 nucleotides in length. Their secondary structure includes four short double-helical elements and three loops (D, anti-codon, and T loops).
Source: RNAcentral
GGGCGAGUGGCGGAAUUGGUAGACGCACAGGUCUCAAAAACCUGCGGCCUCACGGUCAUGAGGGUUCGAUUCCCUCCUCGCCCACGA